CCUACGGGUGGCAGCAGUGAGGAAUAUUGCUCAAUGGGCGGAAGCCUGAUCCAGCCACGCCGCGUGGGUGAAGAAGGUCCUGCGUAUCGUAAACCUCUUUUGUAAGGGAACAAAGGCGGGGACUAGUCCCCGGAUGCGGGUCCAUGAAGAUAAAGCAUCGGCUAACUCCGUGCCAGCAGCCGCGGUAAUACGGAGGGUGCGAGCGUUAUCCGGAUUUAUUGGGUUUAAAGGGUGUGUAGCCGGGUUGACAAGUCAGAUGUGAAAGCCUGGGGCUUAACCGCAGAACUGCAUUGGAAACUGUUGAGCUGGAGUGCGGGAGGGGCAGACGGAAUUCCUGGUGUAGCGGUGAAAUGCGUAGAUAUUAGGAGGAACACCAGUGGCGAAGGCGGUCUGCUGGACAGCAACUGACGUUGAGGCGCGAAAGCGUGGGGAGCAAACAGGAUUAGAUACCCGAGUAGUC
Molecule: ribosomal RNA, 460 nt
Filed under: uncultured bacterium
Lineage: Bacteria
Description: partial 16S ribosomal RNA
Rfam family: Bacterial small subunit ribosomal RNA
Source: RNAcentral